Molecule: ribosomal RNA, 497 nt
Filed under: uncultured bacterium
Lineage: Bacteria
Description: partial 16S ribosomal RNA
Rfam family: Bacterial small subunit ribosomal RNA
Source: RNAcentral
GAUGAACGCUGGCGGCGUGCCUAAUACAUGCAAGUCGAGCGAACAGACGAGGAGCUUGCUCCUCUGACGUUAGCGGCGGACGGGUGAGUAACACGUGGAUAACCUACCUAUAAGACUGGGAUAACUUCGGGAAACCGGAGCUAAUACCGGAUAAUAUAUUGAACCGCAUGGUUCAAUAGUGAAAGACGGUUUUGCUGUCACUUAUAGAUGGAUCUGCGCCGCAUUAGCUAGUUGGUAAGGUAACGGCUUAUCAAGGCAACGAUGCGUAGCCGACCUGAGGGGGUGAUCGGCCACACUGGAACUGGGACACGGUCCAGACUCCUACGAGAGGCAGCAGUAGGGAAUCUUCCGCAAUGGGCGAAAGCCUGACGGAGCAACGCCGCGUGAGUGAUGAAGGUCUUCGGAUCGUAAAACUCUGUUAUUAGGGAAGAACAAAUGUGUAAGUAACUAUGCACGUCUUGACGGUACCUAAUCAGAAAGCCACGGCUAACUACGUG